GAAGAUUCUGAAAGCAGACAAGUGGGCCUCAUCUAGGGGUGUGGUGGGCCCAAAGCCCCCCUGCACCAGUUUUGGCCCCUAACCAUUCCCCAAAUCCGCCCCGAGGGCCUGCGGAAUUGGCUUCAUGGCCACCAGCCUGGUCGCCCCUACGGGUUUAGGCUCGUUCUGCCCAAGCAGAGGAGAGAGGGUCAGCCUGGUGGCCCUUGGGAGGGGUCACUUGCCUGGUAGGUCACCUCUCCCCACCUCCCCAUAAAGAGCCUGUGGAGCUGUGGCCUGGACUAUUAUCGCCUGACUGAGCUGGGAGAGGGAAAUCAGUGGAGCCCAGCUAAUCCAGAAUAUUAAGAGUACCGAAGAUCAUCUACAGCAACUCAUUAAGCAGCAAAUGAUGGCAAGUGAAGUGCUAUUAAUAUUAAAUGUGCCAUUUAGCUAUAUAGGCUGAGGCAGCACAGGAGCGGUGGACUGCGUGUCAGCUAUGAACAGGAGCUGUGCAGGUGGCCCUGUGAAAAGGCCAAAUGAGAAAACUCGGGAGGUCUGGCAUUGAAGAACAUGGUCCAUGCUUGCAGAUAGAUAACAAGGCAGAAAACACAAGACAGGAAGAUGCCCAAUAUGGCACCAGGCGAGAACUGAAAAUGGAACACAGACUGAUAAACACGGGUUGCCAGAAGACAAAAGUGGGACAAUAAUUCAAUCAAUGCCAGCUUCACUUCAAGGUAGGCACAUUCUAU
This is a long non-coding RNA of Ornithorhynchus anatinus (platypus), 725 nucleotides long. RefSeq lists it as uncharacterized. The record is from RefSeq and is a predicted model, not a curated record. The transcript has 3 exons. NCBI's taxonomy places the organism in Eukaryota, Metazoa, Chordata, Mammalia, Monotremata, Ornithorhynchidae.